RNAcentral lists this transfer RNA (67 nucleotides) under Marmota marmota marmota (Alpine marmot). It matches the Rfam family "tRNA". Rfam says of the family: Transfer RNA (tRNA) molecules are approximately 80 nucleotides in length. Their secondary structure includes four short double-helical elements and three loops (D, anti-codon, and T loops). Lineage: Eukaryota; Metazoa; Chordata; Mammalia; Rodentia; Sciuridae. RNAcentral also lists the same sequence under 1 other name. The record is from Rfam by way of RNAcentral.
GGUUGUGGCUCAGCGGUAGAGCACUUGCCUAGCAUGUGUGAGGCCCUGGGUUCGAUCCUCAGCACCA